GCGUGCCUUUUGUAGAAUGAACCGGCGAGUUACGAUUUGAUGCAAGGUUAAGCAGUAAAUGUGGAGCCGUAGCGAAAGCGAGUCUGAAUAGGGCGUUUAGUAUUUGGUCGUAGACCCGAAACCAGGUGAUCUACCCUUGGUCAGGUUGAAGUUCAGGUAACACUGAAUGGAGGACCGAACCGACUUACGUUGAAAAGUGAGCGGAUGAACUGAGGGUAGCGGAGAAAUUCCAAUCGAACCUGGAGAUAGCUGGUUCUCUCCGAAAUAGCUUUAGGGCUAGCCUCAAGUGAUGAUUAUUGGAGGUAGAGCACUGUUUGGACGAGGGGCCCCUCUCGGGUUACCGAAUUCAGACAAACUCCGAAUGCCAAUUAAUUUAACUUGGGAGUCAGAACAUGGGUGAUAAGGUCCGUGUUCGAAAGGGAAACAGCCCAGACCACCAGCUAAGGUCCCAAAAUAUAUGUUAAGUGGAAAAGGAUGUGGCGUUGCCCAGACAACUAGGAUGUUGGCUUAGAAGCAGCCAUCAUUUAAAGAGUGCGUAAUAGCUCACUAGUCGAGUGACACUGCGCCGAAAAUGUACCGGGGCUAAACAUAUUACCGAAGCUGUGGAUUGUCCUUUGGACAAUGGUAGGAGAGCGUUCUAAGGGCGUUGAAGCAUGAUCGUAAGGACAUGUGGAGCGCUUAGAAGUGAGAAUGCCGGUGUGAGUAGCGAAAGACGGGUGAGAAUCCCGUCCACCGAUUGACUAAGGUUUCCAGAGGAAGGCUCGUCCGCUCUGGGUUAGUCGGGUCCUAAGCUGAGGCCGACAGGCGUAGGCGAUGGAUAACAGGUUGAUAUUCCUGUACCACCUAUAAUCGUUUUAAUCGAUGGGGGGACGCAGUAGGAUAGGCGAAGCGUGCGAUUGGAUUGCACGUCUAAGCAGUAAGGCUGAGUAUUAGGCAAAUCCGGUACUCGUUAAGGCUGAGC
Molecule: ribosomal RNA, 961 nt
Filed under: Staphylococcus aureus
Lineage: Bacteria; Bacillati; Bacillota; Bacilli; Caryophanales; Staphylococcaceae
Description: partial 23S ribosomal RNA
Rfam family: Bacterial large subunit ribosomal RNA
Source: RNAcentral